RNAcentral lists this ribosomal RNA (928 nucleotides) under uncultured archaeon. Its description in RNAcentral is "bacterial SSU rRNA". It matches the Rfam family "Archaeal small subunit ribosomal RNA", at positions 1 to 907 of the family's 1478-position model. The record is from RNAcentral.
UCCGGUUGAUCCCGCCGGACCCGACUGCUAUCGGAUAGAGAUUAAGCCAUGCUAGUUGAACAUUUCUUAACUAUGUGAGAAGUGUAGCGUACUGCUCAGUAACACGUGGUCAACCUGCCCUAGAGACGUGUAUAACCCCGGGAAACUGGGACUAAUACGCGAUAGGUCAUAUUUUCUGGAAUGGUUUAUGACAUAAAGGAUAUUUCAAACAUGUUUGAUUUAUUGCUUUAGGAUGGGACUGCGGCCGAUCAGGUUGUUGGUGGGGUAAUGGCCCACCAAGCCGAUUACCGGUGCGGGCUUUGAGAGAAGGAGCCUGGAGAUGGACACUGAGAAAAGGGUCCAGGCCCUACGGGGCGCAGCAGGCGCGAAAACUUCGCAAUGUGCGAAAGCACGACGAGGUUAAUCCGAGUGCAACAUGCUGAAUGUAGCUUUUGAUAAGUGUAAGUAGUUUAUUGAAUAAGGGGAGGGAAAGUCUGGUGUCAGCCGCCGCGGUAAUACCAGCUCCCCGAGUGGUUGGGACGUUUAUUGGGCCUAAAGCAUCCGUAGCCUGUUCUGUAGGUCUUAUGUUAAAACCAAUUGCUUAACAAUUGGACUGCAUGAGAUACCACAAAACUAGGAGGCGGGAGAGGUGGACGGUACUCCACGGGUAGUGGUAAAAUGCUCUGAUCCGUGGAAGACCACCAGUGGCGAAGGCGGUCCACCAGAACGCGCUCGACGGUGAGGGAUGAAAGCUGGGGUAGCGAACCGGAUUAGAUACCCGGGUAGUCCCAGCUGUAAACGAUGCAAGCUAGGUGAUGGAUUAGCUACGUGUUAAUCCAGUGCCGCAGGGAAGCCGUUAAGCUUGCCGCCUGGGGAGUACGGUCGCAAGGCUGAAACUUAAAGGAAUUGGCGGGGGAGCACCACAAGGGGUGAAGCCUGCGGUUCAAUU